This 681-nucleotide ribosomal RNA is filed under the name uncultured Bacteroidales bacterium. Its description in RNAcentral is "bacterial SSU rRNA". It matches the Rfam family "Bacterial small subunit ribosomal RNA", at positions 54 to 725 of the family's 1533-position model. The record is from RNAcentral. Lineage: Bacteria; Pseudomonadati; Bacteroidota; Bacteroidia; Bacteroidales.
CAUGCAAGUCGAGGGGCAGCAUGGUCUUAGCUUGCUAAGGCCGAUGGCGACCGGCGCACGGGUGAGUAACACGUAUCCAACCUGCCGUCUACUCUUGGACAGCCUUCUGAAAGGAAGAUUAAUACAAGAUGGCAUCAUGAGUCCGCAUGUUCACAUGAUUAAAGGUAUUCCGGUAGACGAUGGGGAUGCGUUCCAUUAGAUAGUAGGCGGGGUAACGGCCCACCUAGUCUUCGAUGGAUAGGGGUUCUGAGAGGAAGGUCCCCCACAUUGGAACUGAGACACGGUCCAAACUCCUACGGGAGGCAGCAGUGAGGAAUAUUGGUCAAUGGGCGAGAGCCUGAACCAGCCAAGUAGCGUGAAGGAUGACUGCCCUAUGGGUUGUAAACUUCUUUUAUAAAGGAAUAAAGUCGGGUAUGGAUACCCGUUUGCAUGUACUUUAUGAAUAAGGAUCGGCUAACUCCGUGCCAGCAGCCGCGGUAAUACGGAGGAUCCGAGCGUUAUCCGGAUUUAUUGGGUUUAAAGGGAGCGUAGAUGGAUGUUUAAGUCAGUUGUGAAAGUUUGCGGCUCAACCGUAAAAUUGCAGUUGAUACUGGAUAUCUUGAGUGCAGUUAAGGCAGGCGGAAUUCGUGGUGUAGCGGUGAAAUGCUUAGAUAUCACGAAGACUCCGAUUGCGAAGGCAGC